Molecule: non-coding RNA, 82 nt
Organism: Pseudophryne corroboree (corroboree frog)
Lineage: Eukaryota; Metazoa; Chordata; Amphibia; Anura; Myobatrachidae
Source: the annotation of a RefSeq genome assembly
GUAGUUGUGGCCGAGUGGUUAAGGCGAUGGACUACAAAUCCAUUGGGGUUACCCCGCGCAAGUUCAAAUCCUGCUAGCUUUU